UACAGACCAUCUCGCAAUCUACCAUUGCCAAUCAUUUUCCUUGUUCUCAAAUCUUAAAAUAUACAAUGAGUAAGAAAAAAUUAAAUUUCGCAAUUAAGGGCUUGGGUAAUGGAGCUGACAGAUAAAAGAUUAGUAGAAAAGCUAGGAAAAUGAAGAACUGAAUUGAGAUUGGGAGUGCAUUUAAUAGAACUUGUACCAGAAAUUGUGGUAAAGGA
Molecule: unclassified non-coding RNA, 215 nt
Filed under: Hevea brasiliensis (rubber tree)
Lineage: Eukaryota; Viridiplantae; Streptophyta; Magnoliopsida; Malpighiales; Euphorbiaceae
Source: RNAcentral